Long non-coding RNA from Vigna angularis (adzuki bean), 331 nucleotides. RefSeq lists it as uncharacterized. The transcript is spliced from 2 exons. The record is from RefSeq and is a predicted model, not a curated record. NCBI's taxonomy places the organism in Eukaryota, Viridiplantae, Streptophyta, Magnoliopsida, Fabales, Fabaceae.
CAACAUCAUAAUGACAUAGAUUCAAGAGAUCUCUGGACAAAAAAAAAUGACAUACAUCCAAACGGGGGAAGAGAUAAGAAUUUGAGAGAAGAGGCUACUGGAGAGGAGGAGAAGGAGAGGAAGUCAUUGGAAAGAAGAUUCAAGAAGAGAAGGAUUUGGGAACAGAGAUGAUGUUUCAGGUGAUGCUGGAGAAGUUUAGAGUGAGGAUGCAUUAGGAAAAACUCUAUGGGAUUUUUUCAAAUAUGUAAUUUUAAGUUGUGAAAUGUUUUGGUUUGUAAUUCUAAAUAGCCUUUUAAGAUUCGAUCUGUAUUUUAAUUAUUACUCUUGACAA